Molecule: ribosomal RNA, 493 nt
Filed under: uncultured bacterium
Lineage: Bacteria
Description: bacterial SSU rRNA
Rfam family: Bacterial small subunit ribosomal RNA
Source: RNAcentral
AAAGGAAUAGACGGGGGCCCGCACAAGCGGUGGAGCAUGUGGCUUAAUUCGAUGCAACGCGAAGAACCUUACCCGGGCUAAAUCUCUGGUGACCGGUCCCGAAACGGGCCUUCCCUUCGGGGCACCAGCGAAGGUGCUGCAUGGCUGUCGUCAGCUCGUGCCGUGAGGUGUUGCCUUAAGUGGCGCAACGAGCGCAACCCCUGUGGUUAGUUACCAGCACGUUAUGGUGGGGACUCUAGCCAGACUGCCUACGCAAGUAGUGAGGAAGGUGGGGACGACGUCAAGUCAUCAUGGCCCUUAUGUCCGGGGCUGCACACGUGCUACAAUGGAUGAUACAGAGGGAAGCCACCCGGUGACGGGGCGCAGAUCUCGAAAGUCAUUCUCAGUUCGGAUUGGAGUCUGCAACUCGACUCCAUGAAGGUGGAAUCGCUAGUAAUCGCGUAUCAGCAAUGACGCGGUGAAUACGUUCCCGGGCCUUGUACACACCGCCCGU